This 253-nucleotide ribosomal RNA is filed under the name uncultured bacterium. Its description in RNAcentral is "partial 16S ribosomal RNA". It matches the Rfam family "Bacterial small subunit ribosomal RNA", at positions 524 to 776 of the family's 1533-position model. The record is from RNAcentral.
CACGGGGGGAGCAAGCGUUGUUCGGAAUCACUGGGCGUAAAGGGCGUGCAGGCGGUCAGGUAAGUGGGAUGUGAAAUGCCCCGGCUCACCCGGGGACCGGCAUCUCAUACUGCUUGGCUUGAGUACGGGAGAGGAUGUGGGAAUUCCUGGUGUAGCGGUGAAAUGCGUAGAUAUCUGGAGGAACACCGGUGGCGAAGGCGACAUCCUGGACCGGUAUUGACGCUGAGGCGCGAAAGCCAGGGGAGCAAACGGG